AAUGAACGCUGGCGGCGCGCCUAAUACAUGCAAGUCGAGCGAGAAGACGUAGCAAUACGUUUGUAAAGCGGCGAACGGGUGAGGAAUACAUGGGGUAACCUACCCUCGAGUGGGGAAUAACUAGCCGAAAGGUUAGCUAAUACCGCGUACGCUUCUUGGACUUCGGUUCAGGGAGGAAAGCGAUGCCGAGGGUAUCGCGCUCUUGGAUGGGCUCAUGUCCUAUCAGCUUGUUGGGAGGUAACGGCUCACCAAGGCUUCGACGGGUAGCUGGUCUGAGAGGACGAUCAGCCACACUGGCACUGCGACACGGGCCAGACUCCUACGGGAGGCAGCAGUAAGGAAUAUUGCGCAAAUGGGCGAAAGCCUGACGCAGCGACGCCGCGUGGGGGAGU
RNAcentral lists this ribosomal RNA (392 nucleotides) under uncultured bacterium. RNAcentral's name for it is "bacterial SSU rRNA". It matches the Rfam family "Bacterial small subunit ribosomal RNA", at positions 29 to 410 of the family's 1533-position model. The record is from RNAcentral.